ACAUGAUCAUAUUUAUUAAUUACAAAUUAUACAAUUAAUCAAUCAUGUUCACUAAUUUUCCUUGUCAAAAAUCAUACUAUUUCUAUUAGUCAUACAUCACACAAUUCCCUUCCAUUUUAAGUUUAGAGUAUCACUUGCUAAUCCUUUACCAUAAGAUAGAAAUUUGAGGAUUUACUUAUUUAUUAUUGAAAGUUAUUGACCAAAUGUUUUAUAGAAUAGAAAAUGAGGGGCUUCCUUGGCAAAAUUGGAGUUAGUGCUCUAAUAUGCAGCAUCCACUUAGAACCAUUUCCUCCAUUUGGUACAGGCUCAGAAUGGGUAGCAGAGAAUAGAGAACAAAAAUGGGAAUGGAAGAAAAAAAAGAGAGAGAAAGGAGUGACUACACAGUUCAUGUGCUCCAUUGCUAAAACCAACAACCCGAUAAAAUGCUAAUUA
This 432-nucleotide long non-coding RNA is filed under the name Olea europaea (common olive). RNAcentral describes it as "long non-coding RNA (OEUR_LNC003169)". The record is from RNAcentral. Lineage: Eukaryota; Viridiplantae; Streptophyta; Magnoliopsida; Lamiales; Oleaceae.